Non-coding RNA from Acanthosepion pharaonis, 113 nucleotides. NCBI's taxonomy places the organism in Eukaryota, Metazoa, Mollusca, Cephalopoda, Sepiida, Sepiidae. The record is from the annotation of a GenBank genome assembly.
UACAGCCAUAUCAUGUUGAAACACUGGUUCCUAUGUGAUCACCAAAGUUAAGCAACACCAAUCCUGGUCAGUAGCUAGCUGGGUGACCACUUGCAAUUACCAGGUGUUGUAAG